RNAcentral lists this unclassified non-coding RNA (400 nucleotides) under soil metagenome. Its description in RNAcentral is "partial contains 5.8S ribosomal RNA, internal transcribed spacer 2, and large subunit ribosomal RNA". The stretch from base 1 to 122 matches the Rfam family "5.8S ribosomal RNA", at positions 35 to 154 of the family's 154-position model. The record is from RNAcentral.
GAUUAAGAACGUAGCGAAAUGCGAUACUUGGUGUGAAUUGCAGAAUCCCGUGAACCAUCGAGUCUUUGAACGCAAGUUGCGCCUCAAGCCAUUAGGUUGAGGGCACGUCUGCCUGGGCGUCACAUAUCGUUGCCUGAUGCCAGUUUCCUCGUGAUGGGUGACUGUGCAGGGCGAAUGAUGGCUUCCCGUGAGCAUUGUUGCCUCAUGGUUGGUUGAAAAUUGAGUCCUUGGUAGGGAGCGCCGUGAUAGAUGGUGGUUGAGUGACGAACGAGACCCAAUCAUGUGAGACCCCUACCGAAUUUGGCCUUCAUGACCCACAUGCGUCUUUGGAACGCUCAUGACGAGACCUCAGGUCAGGCGGGGCUACCCGCUGAGUUUAAGCAUAUCAAUAAGCGGAGGA